GGUUAAGCGACUAAGCGUACACGGUGGAUGCCCUGGCAGUCAGAGGCGAUGAAGGGCGUGCUAAUCUGCGAUAAGCGCCGGUAAGGUGAUAUGAACCGUUAUAACCGGCGAUACCCGAAUGGGGAAACCCAGUGUGACUCGUCACACUAUCAUUAACUGAAUCCAUAGGUUAAUGAGGCGAACCGGGGGAACUGAAACAUCUAAGUACCCCGAGGAAAAGAAAUCAACCGAGAUUCCCCCAGUAGCGGCGAGCGAACGGGGAGGAGCCCAGAGCCUGAAUCAGCAUGUGUGUUAGUGGAAGCGUCUGGAAAGGCGCGCGAUACAGGGUGACAGCCCCGUACACAAAAGCGCAUGUGCUGUGAGCUCGAUGAGUAGGGCGGGACACGUGGUAUCCUGUCUGAAUAUGGGGGGACCAUCCUCCAAGGCUAAAUACUCCUGACUGACCGAUAGUGAACCAGUACCGUGAGGGAAAGGCGAAAAGAACCCCGGCGAGGGGAGUGAAAAAGAACCUGAAACCGUGUACGUACAAGCAGUGGGAGCACAGGUUUACCUGUGUGACUGCGUACCUUUUGUAUAAUGGGUCAGCGACUUAUAUUCUGUAGCAAGGUUAACCGAAUAGGGGAGCCGGAGGGAAACCGAGUCUUAAUUGGGCGUUAAGUUGCAGGGUAUAGACCCGAAACCCGGUGAUCUAGCCAUGGGCAGGUUGAAGGUUGGGUAACACUAACUGGAGGACCGAACCGACUAAUGUUGAAAAAUUAGCGGAUGACCUGUGGCUGGGGGUGAAAGGCCAAUCAAACCGGGAGAUAGCUGGUUCUCCCCGAAAGCUAUUUAGGUAGCGCCUCGUGAAUUCAUCUCCGGGGGUAGAGCACUGUUUCGGCUAGGGGGCCAUCCCGGCUUACCAACCCGAUGCAAACUGCGAAUACCGGAGAAUGUUAUCACGGGAGACACACGGCGGGUGCUAACGUCCGUCGUGAAGAGGGAAACAACCCAGACCGCCAGCUAAGGUCCCAAAGUCAUGGUUAAGUGGGAAACGAUGUGGGAAGGCCCAGACAGCCAGGAUGUUGGCUUAGAAGCAGCCAUCAUUUAAAGAAAGCGUAAUAGCUCACUGGUCGAGUCGGCCUGCGCGGAAGAUGUAACGGGGCUAAACCAUG
This 1151-nucleotide ribosomal RNA is filed under the name Salmonella enterica. RNAcentral's name for it is "partial 23S ribosomal RNA". It matches the Rfam family "Bacterial large subunit ribosomal RNA", at positions 1 to 1191 of the family's 2925-position model. RNAcentral also lists the same sequence under 3 other names. Lineage: Bacteria; Pseudomonadati; Pseudomonadota; Gammaproteobacteria; Enterobacterales; Enterobacteriaceae. The record is from RNAcentral.